GAUGAAGAACGCAGCGAAAUGCGAUAAGUAAUGUGAAUUGCAGAAUUCAGUGAAUCAUCGAAUCUUUGAACGCACAUUGCGCCCGUCAGUAUUCUGGCGGGCAUGCCUGUUCGAGCGUCAUUACGCCCCUCAAGUCCCCUGUGGACUUGGUGUUGGGGAUCGGCGAGGCUGGUUUUCCAGCACAGCCGUCCCUUAAAUUAAUUGGCGGUCUCGCCGUGGCCCUCCUCUGCGCAGUAGUAAGACACUCGCAACAGGAGCCCGGCGCGGUCCACUGCCGUAAAACCCCCCAACUUUUUAUAGUUGACCUCGAAUCAGGUAGGACUACCCGCUGAACUUAAGCAUAUCAAUAAGCGGAGGA
Molecule: unclassified non-coding RNA, 358 nt
Filed under: soil metagenome
Description: partial contains 5.8S ribosomal RNA, internal transcribed spacer 2, and large subunit ribosomal RNA
Rfam family: 5.8S ribosomal RNA (bases 1-120)
Source: RNAcentral